This 24-nucleotide microRNA is filed under the name Sorghum bicolor (sorghum). RNAcentral's name for it is "sbi-miR6232a-5p". Lineage: Eukaryota; Viridiplantae; Streptophyta; Magnoliopsida; Poales; Poaceae. The record is from miRBase by way of RNAcentral.
GUCGCUUUGACUUUUUUGGUACAU